GGAGGUAUAGCUCAGUGGUAGAGCAACGCUUAGCAUGCAUGAGGUCCUGGGUUCAAUCCCCAGUACCUCCA
Molecule: transfer RNA, 71 nt
Filed under: Camelus bactrianus (Bactrian camel)
Lineage: Eukaryota; Metazoa; Chordata; Mammalia; Artiodactyla; Camelidae
Also listed under: 1 other name
Rfam family: tRNA
About the family: Transfer RNA (tRNA) molecules are approximately 80 nucleotides in length. Their secondary structure includes four short double-helical elements and three loops (D, anti-codon, and T loops).
Source: Rfam by way of RNAcentral